AGCCUGAACGCUGGCGGCGUGGCUAAGACAUGCAAGUCGCACGGGGUAGCAAUAUCCAGUGGCGAACGGGAGAGUAAUGAAUCGCUAACGUACCCCAGACUCUGGGAUAGCUACCCGAAAGGGUAGGUAAUACCAGAUGAUAUAACCUUGUCGCAUGACAGGGUUCUCAAAGGUCC
Molecule: ribosomal RNA, 176 nt
Filed under: uncultured soil bacterium
Lineage: Bacteria
Description: partial 16S ribosomal RNA
Rfam family: Bacterial small subunit ribosomal RNA
Source: RNAcentral